Molecule: transfer RNA, 73 nt
Filed under: Prevotella sp. CAG:1092
Lineage: Bacteria; Pseudomonadati; Bacteroidota; Bacteroidia; Bacteroidales; Prevotellaceae
Rfam family: tRNA
About the family: Transfer RNA (tRNA) molecules are approximately 80 nucleotides in length.
Source: Rfam by way of RNAcentral
GUGUCAUUAGCUCAGUCGGCAGAGCAACGGAUUGUGGCCCCGUGGGUCAUUGGUUCGAAUCCAAUAUGACACC